UACGGGGGGGGCAAGCGUUGUUCGGAAUUACUGGGCGUAAAGGGCUCGUAGGUGGCCAACUAAGUCGGACGUGAAAUCCCUCGGCUUAACCGGGGAACUGCGUCCGAUACUGGUUGGCUUGAGUUUGGGAGAGGGAUGCGGAAUUCCAGGUGUAGCGGUGAAAUGCGUAGAUAUCUGGAGGAACACCGGUGGCGAAGGCGGCAUCCUGGACCGACACUGACGCUGAGGAGCGAAAGCCAGGGGAGCAAACGGG
This 253-nucleotide ribosomal RNA is filed under the name uncultured bacterium. Its description in RNAcentral is "partial 16S ribosomal RNA". It matches the Rfam family "Bacterial small subunit ribosomal RNA", at positions 524 to 776 of the family's 1533-position model. The record is from RNAcentral.